CACAGUCCACAGCAGGAAUCUGCUCAGCAGCAGAGCCUUGGGACCUGCUUCAGUAAAUAGAGGUUCUGUUGGAGGCAAGAGGGAGAAAAGGGGCCCCAGCAUCAAACCACCUUGACCGAUCCAUCAUCGUCAACCUGUUCCAUCAUAGAGCUUGUAAAAGGGAGAGUGUGAGGGAGACCAGUGCUACCAGUCAGCUGGUAAAGUGUGUCCAGCCAGGGUGGAAUUACCAGGUGGAACAAGUCAUUAUGAGUCCAUGGACAUAAAGGACACCAUUUCACAGCAGUCCAGUGCCUGGUCUCCUGGGACACCCGUGUGAUGUAUGCCUAUUGCUGCCAUGGUUUUCUAAACAUACAGGUUUGCUUUGUUUCCCUCUAUCAAGUAUGUUAUCCAUCAUUCCCAGACACACCUGCCAUGUGUAGCAAAGGUGAAAAUGAAGCAUCUCCACAAUGGUUGUUUUCAGCAAUGGGACAGUGCUGAGCACUCUGUGGGCAGGAGGAUCCUGUGCUGUCACAUGGAUGGGUUAUCCCGGAGCUCAUUUUGGAGCUUCCCCUGUGAACGUUACUGUUGGCUCAGGAUGUUUGUCAUGCAAAAUAGAACAUGAAAAGAUCUCAGCCAUCAGGAAGUUUAGGAGGAACUGUUCUGCUGACAGAGGCUUUUGUUAGGAGUGUCCUGUGAGGAGACAGGUCUGAGGGCAUCGAGCCUGUAAGAGAGCAAAAGGUGUCUGUUCAGGUGUAUCUACCUCAAGCUGAGCAGCAGAAGAGCGGAGGUGCUGUCCCGCCGAGCAGGCCGGGUGUCGUGGCUGGUGUGUUUGGCGGUUGUCGGUGGCACCUGCACGUCAGUUGAAGAUGAAACAGAAACUGUGUGUAAAGAACAGAAGGUGACCAGCGAAGGGAGCAGAGGAGAGGAGGAAAGCAACACAGACAAAACACGUGCAGAGCAGUUCUCUCGUCACACCUGCAGGCUGCUGGAUUGCCCUGAGAGCGGGAGCUCUGUCGUCCCGGCGGUGGCCUGGGCUGGGGUGCAGUGGGUGCUGGGCAAGGCCUGCACAGUGGUGUGGUCUGCUUUGUCACCUUCCCCUGCUCCCAGGCUGGGAUGAGCCCUUCUUGGCUCCCUGAAGCUGCACUGUGGCCACCCAGCCUGGAAAAAGUUUUUACAUGUGGCCAGAUUAUUUUGUGGACCAGUGCUGCUGCUUUCAGUGGGCUUACACAAGGAAUAAACUAAAACUAAGAGAA
Molecule: long non-coding RNA, 1232 nt
Organism: Pipra filicauda (Wire-tailed manakin)
Lineage: Eukaryota; Metazoa; Chordata; Aves; Passeriformes; Pipridae
Exons: 4
Source: RefSeq, a predicted model, not a curated record